GGGGGCGACUGGUUUCGACAUAUCGGUUUUGAAAAGGGAAGCAGGCCGUGGUCUCCUCGCCACGUAAAACAGGGGUACCGUCAAAUUUACUUGACAACAAGCAGUAUGCUCUCGCUGCCUGAUUAGUGUAGCGACGUCGACUUGAUGUGUUUCCCCGCCAUCAACAAGACGCAACUAAGGGGAAUGCUCCGCGUCUGAUUGUUGGCUAAGUCGCGGCAAAGCCAGGCCAACUGGAACCUGAGACGCCCGUUUGUGAGCCAUCCCAGGUUUAAGAUUUGAUCGCAAACUGAGCCUGGAGAUGCCCUUUGAGAAGCUCCUAUGGACCGGAGUUCGAUUCUCCGCGCCUCCACCA
Molecule: transfer-messenger RNA, 352 nt
Filed under: Coriobacteriales bacterium
Lineage: Bacteria; Bacillati; Actinomycetota; Coriobacteriia; Coriobacteriales
Rfam family: transfer-messenger RNA
About the family: Bacterial tmRNA, also known as 10Sa RNA or SsrA, is named for its dual tRNA and mRNA-like properties. Its role is to liberate the mRNA from a stalled ribosome.
Source: RNAcentral